RNAcentral lists this ribosomal RNA (748 nucleotides) under Elona quimperiana. Its description in RNAcentral is "partial large subunit ribosomal RNA". Lineage: Eukaryota; Metazoa; Mollusca; Gastropoda; Stylommatophora; Elonidae. The record is from RNAcentral.
GAAAGAUUUUGAGCUAAUUUAUGUAAAGUAUAUAGCUUACAAUUAAUAUGUUACAUAAUAUUGAAUAUAAAAUAAAUUAGGGGUGAUAGGCUUUUCAAAUUUUCAGAUAACUUGAUAUGUCAAAAAAAUAUAAAGUAUAAAAGCAAUUAAAAAAUGUUAAGGUUUUUUAAUAACAUAAAGUAAAAUAAGCAGUUUAACAUAUAGCUUAAUAGUUUAUGUUAUUUCAUUAAUAUUAUUAAAUAUUGUGCGUUUAUGGUAUGUAGUACAUUAUAUGUAAAUUUAAUAGAAUAUUAAUUAUGUUGAUAUUAGUAUUUAGGUAGUCCCUUUUAAGGAACUCGGCAACUUAUUUCUCAUCUGUUUAACAAAAACAUAACUAAGUGAAAAAAUACUUAGCAUGUCCUGCUCCAUGAGAGAAUUAAAUAGCCGCAGUACUUUGACUGUGCAAAGGUAGCAUAAUCAAUUGACUUAUAAUUGAAGUCUAGAAUGAAAGGAUGCAUGGGAAAUAACUGUCUAAAAUAGUGUAAAUAGAACUUACUUAAUAAGUGAAAAUGCUUAUAAAGAAAUAAUAGACGAGAAGACCCUUGAAAUUUUGUUUAACAUCUCUAACGAUUAAAAUUUUGUUGGGGCGACAGAAUAGCACCUAACCUAUUCUAUGUUAUUGACAUUUAUAUAAGGUAAUAAUAAAUUACUCUAGGGAUAACAGCAUAAUUUUUUAAAAGAUUGUGACCUCGAUGUUGGACUAGGAUAU